Molecule: non-coding RNA, 815 nt
Organism: Mus caroli (Ryukyu mouse)
Lineage: Eukaryota; Metazoa; Chordata; Mammalia; Rodentia; Muridae
Source: RefSeq, a predicted model, not a curated record
UUGUUUGUUUUAAGUUUGGGAAUAUAUUCAUGUUGCUUGUACACCAUGGAGAGCAAACGACCAGUAAAUUAUUAGUUGUAACAAAAACAGUUGCUUACUUGAAGCCAAGACAUUCUGACAACAGUCCUUUCUGCCUCAUUCACAGGAAGAAAAUAACAGAUACCAAGGGAAUCUGGCCCGAUCCCUAGCCUGUCUUCUCUGUACAGAGAGCUCAUAAGCUGAGGGUUCAUGUGGAGUGGAAACAGAGAGUUCAUUAAACACCAAAAGUGGGGGAAAAGGAGAGCUGGGAGAUGAGCAUAAAAUGGCGGCCGCUAGGAAGCCAGUGCCAUUUUAUUAAACACACAUGAUGAUCUUCAAGCUUGAAGACAGCUAGCCAGAGACAGACUGAGAAGAUUGAUUUAACUCUGUCCUUCAAAGAAAUCCAAGCUGCCAUUGCCAAAGCCUCCAUUAACCAUCCCUGGACUUAUAGCUUCGCUCCCUGGGCUGCCUACCUAGGCUUCGCCGGUCCUCAGCAACACGUGGCCACUGCUUCACAACCUUAAGACUAUAGUGCACAGCGCCAAAUCUAGCGUCUCCUUGCAGGAAGACUGGCUGCAUAAAGUGGGGGACUUGCAAGAUUUACAUAGGAACCUCCAACAGAAGGAGUCCUGUAAAAUCAGAGCUCAAGUCGCCAGCAAACUUCGAGUGGAUCCCAGUAGUCCAUAACAGGUUACGCAACGCCUAGUGACUUAGUGUUGCUGACUUGUUUGCAGACCUUCAAAGCAGUUGACAGAAAACAAAACAAAACAAAAACCACACAGAGAAGAAAACUUUGA